Molecule: ribosomal RNA, 491 nt
Filed under: Theileria orientalis
Lineage: Eukaryota; Apicomplexa; Aconoidasida; Piroplasmida; Theileriidae
Description: SSU rRNA
Rfam family: Eukaryotic small subunit ribosomal RNA
Source: RNAcentral
UUACCCAAUCCUGACACAGGGAGGUAGUGACAAGAAAUAACAAUACGGGGCUUAAUGUCUUGUAAUUGGAAUGAUGGGAAUUUAAACCUCUUCCAGAGUAUCAAUUGGAGGGCAAGUCUGGUGCCAGCAGCCGCGGUAAUUCCAGCUCCAAUAGCGUAUAUUAAAAUUGUUGCAGUUAAAAAGCUCGUAGUUGAAUUUCUGCUGCAUUACAUUUCUCUUGUUUGAGUUUGUUUUUGUGGCUUAUUUCGGAUUGAUUUUUUUAUCUUUCCGGAUGAUUACUUUGAGAAAAUUAGAGUGCUCAAAGCAGGCUUUUGCCUUGAAUAGUUUAGCAUGGAAUAAUAAAGUAGGACUUUGGUUCUAUUUUGUUGGUUUUAGGUACCAAAGUAAUGGUUAAUAGGAACAGUUGGGGGCAUUCGUAUUUAACUGUCAGAGGUGAAAUUCUUAGAUUUGUUAAAGACGAACUACUGCGAAAGCAUUUGCCAAGGAUGUUU